CUGGUCAUAAAGGGAAAAUAUGUUAGUUUUUAUCAAUUCCCCGGCAACGGCGCCAAUUUUUGAUAGGCGGUUGUCGAAGCCGUCAAAAAUAAACCUAUUAAACAAUCAACAAUAAACUUGUAGAUAGUGGCAAUAGGGUCGAACCACAGGGAAUUGACACCAAUGAUUUUCCUAAUAAUGACUAGGUCAAGUAAAUAACAAGUAAAUAAAAGAGGG
This 216-nucleotide long non-coding RNA is filed under the name Manihot esculenta (cassava). RNAcentral describes it as "long non-coding RNA (MESC_LNC002024)". Lineage: Eukaryota; Viridiplantae; Streptophyta; Magnoliopsida; Malpighiales; Euphorbiaceae. The record is from RNAcentral.